This 104-nucleotide microRNA precursor is filed under the name Marmota monax (woodchuck). Lineage: Eukaryota; Metazoa; Chordata; Mammalia; Rodentia; Sciuridae. The record is from RNAcentral.
AUAAAAAUCAACUAGGAAUCUCAUUUAAAAUGCAAAUUCUGAUUCUAAACAUGUGAUAUGGCCUGAGAGUCUGUAUUUCUAAUGUACUCCCAGAUAAUGCCCAC